Molecule: ribosomal RNA, 301 nt
Filed under: uncultured bacterium
Lineage: Bacteria
Description: partial 16S ribosomal RNA
Rfam family: Bacterial small subunit ribosomal RNA
Source: RNAcentral
CAGUAGCCGCGGUAAUACGUAUGUCGCAAGCGUUAUCCGGAAUUAUUGGGCAUAAAGGGCAUCUAGGCGGCCAGACAAGUCUGGGGUGAAAACUUGCGGCUCAACCGCAAGCCUGCCCUGGAAACUGUUUGGCUAGAGUGCUGGAGAGGUGGACGGAACUGCACGAGUAAAGGUGAAAUUCGUAGAUAUGUGCAGGAAUGCCGAUGAUGAAGAUAGUUCACUGGACGGCAACUGACGCUGAAGUGCGAAAGCUAGGGGAGCGAACGGGAUUAGAUACCCCAGUAGUCCCUGUCUCUUAUAA